GACGGAGGAUGCAAGUGUUAUCCGGAAUCACUGGGCGUAAAGCGUCUGUAGGUGGUUUAAUAAGUCAACUGUUAAAUCUUGAGGCUCAACUUCAAAAUCGCAGUCGAAACUAUUAGACUAGAGUAUAGUAGGGGUAAAGGGAAUUUCCAGUGGAGCGGUGAAAUGCGUAGAGAUUGGAAAGAACACCAAUGGCGAAAGCACUCUGCUGGGCCGACACUGACACUGAGAGACGAAAGCUAGGGGAGCGAAUGGG
This 253-nucleotide ribosomal RNA is filed under the name uncultured bacterium. RNAcentral's name for it is "partial 16S ribosomal RNA". It matches the Rfam family "Bacterial small subunit ribosomal RNA", at positions 524 to 776 of the family's 1533-position model. The record is from RNAcentral.